RNAcentral lists this ribosomal RNA (205 nucleotides) under uncultured bacterium. RNAcentral's name for it is "partial 16S ribosomal RNA". It matches the Rfam family "Bacterial small subunit ribosomal RNA", at positions 328 to 538 of the family's 1533-position model. The record is from RNAcentral.
ACGCUCGACACCUACGGGGAGGCAGCAGUUAGGAAUAUGGGCAAUGGAGGGAACUCUGACCCAGCAACGCCGCGUGAAGGAAGAAGGUUUUCGGACUGUAAACUUCUGAUCUAAGGGAAAAAAGAAAGUGAUGGUACCUUAGGAGAAAGCCACGGCUAACUACGUCCCAGCAGCCGCGGUAAUCUGAGGCGGGCGUGGCAAGGGC